UUCAGCAGUGAGCAGCUUGUGAUAAACCGUGUGUGGGAAAACAUGAAGAAGGAGUGAAGGACUGGUCCCCCAGAAGCUGCAGACCGAGGUCCACUUUGUGUGGGAAAACAUGAAGAAGGAGUGAAGGACUGGUCCCCCAGAAGCUGCAGACCGAGGUCCACUUUGUGUGGGGAAACAUGAUGAAGGAGUGAAGGACUGGUCCCCCAAAAGCUGCAGACCGAGGUCCACUUUGUGUGGGGAAAUAUGAUGAAGGAGUGAAGGACUGGUCCCCCAGAAGCUGCAGACCGAGGUCCACUUUGUGUGGGGAAACAUGAUGAAGGAGUGAAGGACUGGUCCCCCAGAAGCUGCAGACCGAGGUCCACUUUGUGUGGGGAAACAUGAUGAAGGAGUGAAGGACUGGUCCCCCAGAAGCUGCAGACCGAGGUCCACUUUGUGCGGGGAAACAUGAUGAAG
Nerophis ophidion (straightnose pipefish) is the source of this 453-nucleotide long non-coding RNA. RefSeq lists it as uncharacterized. NCBI's taxonomy places the organism in Eukaryota, Metazoa, Chordata, Actinopteri, Syngnathiformes, Syngnathidae. The transcript has 2 exons. The record is from RefSeq and is a predicted model, not a curated record.